GGCCGGGGCGGCGGCGGCGGCGGAGCCGGGCGGGCGGCGCGGCCAUGGAGGAGCCGUCGGUACCGGACGCCUCGGCGACGAGGCGGGGGCCCAUCAAGGGCAUCCUGAAGAAGAGCGGCAGCAAGGCUUCGUCGGGAGGGGCCGUGGGGGCGCGACAGCCCAGCCAGGCCUGCGACGAGGACGAGCAAGGUAAAAAAUCCCAGAAGUGGGAUGAAAUGAACAUCAUAGCUACAUACCACCCUGCAGGCAAAGAUUAUGGCUUGAUGAAAAUUGAUGAGCCAAGUACUCCCUACCACAGCAUGAGAGGAGAAGAUGAUGAGGAUCCAGUGAGUGAUUCAGAAUGUGAGCCCUUAAGAGCAGAUGUGUUGAGUAAAAAACUGGCAGCUGCAGCUGAAGGUAGAGGACCCAAGAUUAUAGCAAGGCAAGAAGAAAGCAGUGAGGAGGAGGAUGAGGAUGAAGAAUUAACACCUGAAGAACGGGAGAAAAAGAAACAGUUUGAAAUGAAGAGAAAAAUGCACUACAAUGAAGGAAGAAACAUCAAACUGGCAAGGCAGCUCAUUGCAAAAGAACUACAUGGUGAAGAAGAUGAAGAUGAUGAGGAUGAAGAGAUGCGUGAUGCUGCAGAUGUAGAAACAAUGAAUACAGAAGCUACCGAGCACGGGGAAAGGAGGGCUGCAGUAGCCAACCGUAUGAGCCUUCUGCAUGGCCUGAAGCUGCCAUCCCUCUGCACUCUGCUGUAAAACAGAGGCAACUCCGCUCCCCAGCUGCAUUCGCCACUGGAAAGAAGGCAGACCUUUGCAGCAUUUUUCCAUCUCUAUUGUUGAAGUCCAUUCCACCUUCCUCAUAACCAGCUUCAGAGCCACAACUGACUGAGAUUUCUUGCUGAUUGAAAUGAAGAUGGCCAGUCCAGUCAGUGAUGCACAUGUUACUCGUGACCAGCUGGAAAGUGGAGCACACAGCAUAGAAGAAAUCUGUCCAGAACUGUAACUGCUUGUCAAAGACACAAAUAUAAACAUCGCUUCAUGAUUUUUGCAAUUAAGGCUCUUAAAUGUUAAGAAGCAUAUCAGUUACAAUGUUGUAUUGCCAAGAAUGUUAAUUUUAGACUUGUCCAUUAGGCAGAAAACACUGUCUAAUUGAUUUAUUCUCGUGCCUAGUAUUUCAUGGAGAAUACUGCUUCAUAAUUUGUUCAACCAGAAUGGCAUUCCCUGUAUGUAUAGCGCUGAUUAUCUUGCGUGAUGUACUGUUACUCUUGCUUUGAAACACUCACUAUCUUUUGGUUUCACACUAUUUAUUUGAGAGUGUUCUAGAUGUGGUGUCUCAUACGCAAAGUUUUGGGAUUCAAGAGCCAAACGGUACAGCGUAUAUCAGAUUGACAUGUAAGCUAUUUAUCAGAUGUGUUAAGCAGUUUAAAAAGGGAUUAUUCAAGUCCUACAACUUUUUUUUUUGUAAAGUGUUGACCUGUUAAUCUAGAUUUGAGUAUGUUUUUGCCUGCACUUUCCCAGUCUUUAGAACAAGAGCUGUGUUAUUUCUUAAGAGCGGUGUUUGCAGUCGGUUGUUAGUUUCUGACUAAAGCAGUACUAACAUCUAGUGGAGGGAGUGUUUUUACACUGGAAACGGCUAACUUGAACUUUGCAUUUAACUGUCAUAACCUCUUCCAUCAGGACUGGUUGGUUUGUGGAGCUCUCUCUGGCUUAUUGUGAGAACACAAAAGUUCCCUCCAGCUUUUCUCUUAAAAAUCCACAUCCACUGUUACUCUUCUGGCUCUUGUUUCAAAUGUUUGGUUCUUUCCAGUUGCAUGAACAGUUGUUUGCACUGUUAGCACCUGAGGAAAAACACCCAGCCACGAGAAAAUAUACAUCAGGACUGAAGAUGUGCUGAGCUUAGGCUCUGGCUGUUCUUUAUUAAAGAUAACUGCUGUUGAUCUGCUCUUUUGGGGUUGGCAACUUCCAUACUGAAAACCACUGGUCUAAAUCUUCCUGUGUCCAUUGCAACUUACAGCAACUGCUUUUGUAAAAUGAAGGCUUUUUGGAAGCUAGAAGGGAAACUGCCUAAUUCAAAUACUUGUUUACAGUGUGGUUGUAUAGCUGUAAAGAGGGAUUCUGCGCCUCCAAAUUGCUGUAAAAACUUCCCACUGGGUGGAAUUUGACUGGUGAAUGUUCCAGUAUUCAGAGUAGUUCCUGGUUUUAUUACACAAACAAAGUACACACUUAAGCUUUAGCUUGGUUAUGAAAUACAGUGUAUAUCUUAAUUUUGAUCUGAAUUUGAUAUGUUGCAAAAAUCCAUAUAAUUAUAUGGAUCUAUUUUAAAAUGUCUUUUUCUCCACUGUAUAUGUGAAGUUUGAAUAAAGGAAUGAAAGAUAUUUUACAGUUACAUGCAUUCUCAAGUGUGAGCUUUCCUGGAGUCCCAGAGAAAUUGAGAGUGAAUAAGGCAAUAGGAUGCUGUCCUUUGAAAGAUUUUUACAGGAAUGUUUCAUUAGACUGGAUGCAUUGCCAAAGAUAUCUGUGAGUUGUGCUAAGUGUGUUUUGUAGUGUGCCUUUCCCAACUAUCUCCUGUCCUCAGUAGGUAACAGGGUGGUCAGUUCUGGGUUAGUUAAUCUUCUAAGGUCAUGAAUCAAGAUUAAUAGGGUCUUCUCACAAGAGUUGAACUCUUGAUUCUGGCCAGUGUGGUAAUGCUAGUUUUUCAACAUGCAGAGUGCUAUUCUUGUAUCAAAUGUGGUCACUUGCAUAGAUUAAACAGGGGCAAAGGGUAAGCAUUUAGAUAUUUCUGACACGUCAAAUCACUACUGUAGCUUUCAGUUUGGUUCCUAAGAAUAGGAUUUCAGAACUUUAGGCUUGUACCUUUUAUAAAUCAGCUUGCAGUGUUCAGAGUGUUGGCCUGUGUGCACUGAGCUGUGUUUCAGACCUGGCAGCUGCUGGCCUGGCCUGCCCCAGCUGGGCACUGAAAUCCUGCUGAGAGCGUGGCAGUGCUCAGCAAAGCCAUGUCACUGUCACUGAGCGUGGUGAGCAGUGUGUGCAGGUAACACCAGUGUGCUCUGUGAGCUGUGGAACAUGUCACUUGUACUUUGUGCUGAGUACCCACGGGUACUUUGUACCUGCGACUAAGGUAGAAUCCAGCAGCAGCAGCAGAUCUUACCUGAGCUAAUGUCCUGCCCUCCUUAACCCCCCACCUUCUUGUGUCCAAGGCCAUUUGGUGCUCACCAGGGCUUCUUUGGACCUUACAAGGUCUAGCAAGCAUUUUGUUUAACAAACUUACUUUGCUAACUUCCAGUAAAGACCUUUCCUGUAAUGGCUUCCAAAAUCCUAAAUGAAAUGAGUAUGUAUCUUUGAGGGAGGUACACAAAUGCAUGAAGAUGGUUUUAAAUGAACCACAUAAUGUAUGUCCCUUCAUCACUCUGGUGAUUUUGAACUGCUUGGGUGAUCUCCCUUUUUCUGUGCCAUCAAGCACCUGAAUUCCAAGCUUGAUGCUAUUUUGAAACUUGAUUUAGUUUGGGUUUUUUUUAAAGGCUUUGUUCUCUGCAUUUUCCUCAGUGCUCACAAAAAUUCUGUUCACAGUGCUUGUCUUCCUCAGCAGAAGUGCAACCCAAUGUCCCUGACAUUGCUUCUAACUGAAAGGCUGGUUUACUUGGUUUUCUCUGCUUACACCUUGAUGCAUAUUAAAAGCUAAAUCGGGCAAGUUUUACUUUGCAGUGGCUCCAGAAACUCCAUAUAGCUUUUUUACAAAGGGAUGUCUGAUUUCCCUCUGCUUGAGAAAUAUCAGAGUUCCCUGCUGAAUGGGGACAAUAGAAGAAAUGUGUUUUCUCUUUUUGCAUUUGAUGAGGACUUAGCUUGCUUGCACAUCUUAAUCUUGAGGUGCAUAUGGUAAAUACUCAUGUGUACAGUACAGAGUGGUGUAAAGAGGAAACAAACACAGCGCUUACUUAUGUGGUCAGUGAGCUCCACAGCACCAUAAUUGUGAAUCUUCUUGCACAGGUUUAAGUCCUCGAGCUGCAUCCUGUUUAGAGAAACCAUUUUCAAUAUGCUUCCAGUAGGAAGAUCAUUUACAAAUAAGAGCCUUAACUCAUGUGUAUAGGUUUUAUUUUUUCUGUCCAUAGUUUCUUUCUCACCAACUUGUACA
Passer montanus (Eurasian tree sparrow) is the source of this 4113-nucleotide RNA transcript. It is a transcript of the gene named protein phosphatase 1 regulatory inhibitor subunit 2, with no coding region annotated. The record is from RefSeq and is a predicted model, not a curated record. Lineage: Eukaryota; Metazoa; Chordata; Aves; Passeriformes; Passeridae. The transcript is spliced from 8 exons.